RNAcentral lists this ribosomal RNA (775 nucleotides) under uncultured Neocallimastigales. RNAcentral describes it as "partial large subunit ribosomal RNA". It matches the Rfam family "Eukaryotic large subunit ribosomal RNA", at positions 26 to 644 of the family's 3401-position model. Lineage: Eukaryota; Fungi; Neocallimastigomycota; Neocallimastigomycetes; Neocallimastigales. The record is from RNAcentral.
CGCAUCUGUGCAUGCAGCAUAUCAAUAAGCGGAGGAAAAGAAACUAACAAGGAUUCCCCUAGUAACGGCGAGUGAAGCGGGAAGAGCUCAAAUUUGAAAUCUUAAAGGGCUUCCCUUUACGAAUUGUAGUUUAAAGAAGUGUUUUCUGUUGAGGUUUUGGUAAAAGUUCUUUGGAAUAGGACAUCAUAGAGGGUGAGAAUCCCGUAUUUGACCUUUACUUUCAACUUUGUGAUACACUUUCAAAGAGUCGGAUUGUUUGGGAAUGCAGUCCAAAAUGGGUGGUAAAUUUCAUCUAAAGCUAAAUAUUGGCGAGAGACCGAUAGCGAACAAGUACCGUGAGGGAAAGAUGAAAAGAACUUUGAAAAGAGAGUUAAACAGUACGUGAAAUUGUCAAAAGGGAAGCGUUUGACACCAGUGUUGUUUUUCUGAAAAUCAAUUAAAGAACUGUUUAUGCUAAGCUGUUUAGACUUUAUCAGCUAACUGUUUAGUUUUGAGCCUUUUCUUUAAUGCACUUUUCAGUUAACAAGUCAACAUCAAUUUCUUUUGCUGUAAAAAAGCUUGAGGAAGGUGGCUUGAGAUUCGUCUUAAGUGUUUAUAGCCUCUUGCCUAUGCAGUCGGAGAGAUUGAGGUCUGCAGCGUAGAUCCUUCGGGGCUAAAUGCAUUUGUGCUAAGUUAUAGCAUUUUAUAGACAACUUGUUGACUAUGAUUUGUCUUGUAGCUUACUCGCUUAUGUUAUUUUACCUACGCUUAGGAUGUUGAAUCUGUGCGAGACUAC